This 450-nucleotide ribosomal RNA is filed under the name uncultured bacterium. RNAcentral describes it as "partial 16S ribosomal RNA". It matches the Rfam family "Bacterial small subunit ribosomal RNA", at positions 354 to 796 of the family's 1533-position model. The record is from RNAcentral.
GUGGGGAAUAUUGCGCAAUGGGCGAAAGCCUGACGCAGCGACGCCGCGUGAGGGAUGAAGGUUUUCGGAUCGUAAACCUCUGUCAGAAGGGAAGAAACUACAUUGUGCUAAUCAGCAGUGUACUGACGGUACCUUCAAAGGAAGCACCGGCUAACUCCGUGCCAGCAGCCGCGGUAAUACGGAGGGUGCAAGCCUUAAUCGGAAUUACUGGGCGUAAAGCGCACGUAGGCUGUAGUGUAAGUCAGGGGUGAAAUCCCACGGCUCAACCGUGGAACUGCCUUUGAUACUGCACAACUUGAAUCCGGGAGAGGGUGGCGGAAUUCCAGGUGUAGGAGUGAAAUCCGUAGAUAUCUGGAGGAACAUCAGUGGCGAAGGCGGCCACCUGGACCGGUAUUGACGCUGAGGUGCGAAAGCGUGGGGAGCAAACAGGAUUAGAAACCCUUGUAGUCC